This is a long non-coding RNA of Pipra filicauda (Wire-tailed manakin), 892 nucleotides long. RefSeq lists it as uncharacterized. The record is from RefSeq and is a predicted model, not a curated record. The transcript is spliced from 4 exons. NCBI's taxonomy places the organism in Eukaryota, Metazoa, Chordata, Aves, Passeriformes, Pipridae.
ACCUCCACAUGUGACAGCAGCAGUCGCUGUUUAACCCACAGAUGUGCCAGGUGACAGUCAGGACAGGACACUUGGAGGAGACUGUGAUCCAGCAGCAGUGAGAGGGAAGAGCCAUUCCCUCCUCCUUGCAUGACAAAAUUUUCUUUUCCUUACACCAUGUAAGAAAUCCUCUGCCUCAUCCUCAACGAGGACCACAUCCAAAGGGAAUCCAGCCCAACCAUGCAGUUGGACCUCCCCACUGGCACCAGAGUAAUCUCCCUGAAUCAGAGACAGAACUGGACAUCAACUGCUCUUUACAGCUCGAACCUGCUGCUCCUGCUCUGACAAGGACUGCCAUGACUGAGGAUCUCCAUCACUUCUGCCUCUCUUCCUGGUCCAGCCGUGCACCCAUAGACCUGCUGCAGAGCAAAAGCCAUUGCUUUCUGGCACUAAGCUGCUUCCUGAAGAUUGCACAGCAAGACAGAUCAACUUCGAGGGGAGCUGAUCCAGGAGAGGACAUGGGGCCAAAAGAGCCUGAGGAGUCUGAAGAUGCAGCUUUAUCAGCUUAGCAAAAGGGCUGGUGCAUCGAAUGGCAAAGGCUGCAGGCCCUGUGUGCUUGAGGUCUGUGACAGAAGGCUCUGCACUAUUCCCACCACAGCCCAGACGCCCAUGGAAGGAUUAUUCCCCCAGCACCUCCCAACCCCCUGGUGCCAGCAGUCCCCCUGGAAUCCAUGCCUCUUUAUAAGGGGAAACGAGGGAAUCUAUGGUGAGCAUCCUUACCCUCACCUCCUGCCUCUCCAAGCCCUUCCUGUUGCUGGCACUUCCACCCUCAGCAGCGGCUGUGCAGGAUCACGUCCCAGAGAGUCUGGCACGUCGUGUCGGGUGCAGAGGCAGGAGCUGACGGGUGUGAUGU